RNAcentral lists this ribosomal RNA (468 nucleotides) under uncultured bacterium. RNAcentral describes it as "partial 16S ribosomal RNA". It matches the Rfam family "Bacterial small subunit ribosomal RNA", at positions 28 to 507 of the family's 1533-position model. The record is from RNAcentral.
GACGAACGCUGGCGGCGUGCUUAACACAUGCAAGUCGAACGGAAAGGCCCUGCUUUUGUGGGGUGCUCGAGUGGCGAACGGGUGAGUAACACGUGAGUAACCUGCCCUUGACUUUGGGAUAACUUCAGGAAACUGGGGCUAAUACCGGAUAGGAGCUCAUGCUGCAUGGUGGGGGUGGGAAAUUUUCGGCGGUUGGGGAUGGACUCGCGGCUUAUCAGCUUGUUGGUGGGGUAGUGGCUUACCAAGGCUUUGACGGGUAGCCGGCCUGAGAGGGUGACCGGCCACAUUGGGACUGAGAUACGGCCCAGACUCCUACGGGAGGCAGCAGUGGGGAAUAUUGCACAAUGGGCGGAAGCCUGAUGCAGCAACGCCGCGUGCGGGAUGACGGCCUUCGGGUUGUAAACCGCUUUCGCCUGUGACGAAGCGUGAGUGACGGUAAUGGGUAAAGAAGCACCGGCUAACUACGUG